Molecule: non-coding RNA, 228 nt
Organism: Pelobates cultripes (western spadefoot toad)
Lineage: Eukaryota; Metazoa; Chordata; Amphibia; Anura; Pelobatidae
Source: the annotation of a GenBank genome assembly
CCUGAACUUGCGCUGACUUACUUUACUACUAGCCUUGGUUAUGGUUACAGACAUUACCAGUUCUUCUCCUUUAGCGUAACGUCUAGCCCAUGUGCCAUUAUCUGAAGGACUUUCAUUCUCCAAAAUAAUUUCUUCUUUAUUGUACAGGUGUGUUAGUCUCUUUUCAAAACAUACAGGUGAAACUGUUCUUAUAGUAAAAGCCAAAAUUGCCAUCCUGUCUAAAUAAAU